UCCUGCCUCAGCUUCCCAAGGAGCUGGGAUUACAGAGACGGGGUUUCACCAUAUUGGGCAGGCUGGUCUCGAACUCCUGACCUCAAGCGAUCCACCCGCCUUGACCUCUCGAAGUUCUGGGAUUACAACUGUGAACCACUGCACCCGGCCCAUAAGUUAUUUAAAUGAUGGAAAAAUUCUAUAAAGAGAAAAUUCCACCUCCUCUACUGUUAGUGGUGAAGCUCACAUAAGAAAGGUCAAAAGAACUCAAGAGCCAAUUUGAGGACAUUCUGAUUAGCUAAAGUAUGACAAUCUGAGCAUCAGUAAGAUCAUCAAUUACAAACCAUUUUGAAAAAUCGUAUUGCUAGUGAUAAUCUUGGUAUUGCUAUUCUGAGAUAGUUGAGUUUGCAUUGUGAAAUAAAGCAAAUAUGUAUUUAUUUGAUAAUCUGAUUCUGUCAUUCUUGAGCCAGCUGAGAGUCUGUCAAGGGGAGACCCAAAACCAGAGAAACUCCUUUUCUUCUUUGUCUCAAUCACAUCAUUUUCUAGGGACACCAAUUCAUCAAGAAGCAAGAGUUUUGCUGUCAGUUCCUCCUGCAUUCAUUCUUCCUGCUGCCUUGUGAAGAAGGUGCCUUGCUUCCCCUUUGCCUUCCACCAUGAUUGUAAGUUUAACGAGGACUCCCCAGCCAUGCAGAACGGUUCACAACCUUGAAUGGCAUGUUGGCAAUAAAAAGAAGACAAUAAAAA
Molecule: long non-coding RNA, 723 nt
Filed under: Homo sapiens (human)
Lineage: Eukaryota; Metazoa; Chordata; Mammalia; Primates; Hominidae
Description: HSALNT0066297
Source: RNAcentral